Molecule: RNA transcript, 1576 nt
Organism: Brachypodium distachyon (stiff brome)
Lineage: Eukaryota; Viridiplantae; Streptophyta; Magnoliopsida; Poales; Poaceae
Gene name: protein APEM9
Exons: 8
Source: RefSeq, a predicted model, not a curated record
GCGCGCGACGUCACCGUAGCCUGCCGUCUCCGUCGCAGCUCGCCGACGACUCCGACCGCGCGGCUCCGCCCCGCUCCUCUCCGACUGCCGCGGAGCUCGCCGACGCCAAGGAUUCGUCAUCUCCUUCUCCCUUGGGAGGUCUUGGAAUCCUUUCCCCGGGAGAAGCGGGGAGCGCGCGGAUCAUGGGGACUUCGGCGGCCCAGGAGUCGGAUCUCUGGAAGCGAAUCGAUGACGCCGAGUGCUAUCUGGUCAGCGGAUCCUUUGAUCAUGCGGUUUUGGUGGCAUUAUCUGUAUCUGAUAAAAUUCGAGCAGAAGCUUUCGGACAAGUAUAUGAUGAUGAUGAGCUUUUGGAAAUGCUUGAAUUAGCUGGGAUUGUACUCGUUCAGGCACUUAAAGAGCUCAGAAGGACACAUGAGAUGUUUAUUCAGCUUAAAGCUAUGUAUGGUUCAGUAGCAUCAGUACCUGUGAAAAUCUUCCUGACAGGGGCUACCAUGCUAAUGGCAGAAGGAUCUGGGCCUGACCUUCGAUCAAUCUUUGAGGAGUACCUUGCUAAAUGGAGAUAUACAGAUGAUCAACUUUAUGUAUUAAAUGGAGAACAGGAAAGAUCCUCAGAUGGUCUUAUUGUUAAAUUAACUAUGACAACUGAGGAGUAUUUGGAGGUGGCAGAAUUGUAUACGGUUACAUUCCUUACUAUUGCCUCCCAUGAGCCUGAAACUGCCAUCUCAUGGGUAGAAAAAGCAGAAUUGAUUGAGCAAGAUCGACAGGAGCUACUAAGAAAACUUAAUGCAUUACAAGCAGCAGCAAAUAAAAAGUCAUCUGCUACUACAGGAGCAAAACAAUCAGCAGAAAGGAAUCUUCCUGCCUCUGUGAAUGGCCCAACACCGUCAACACAUGAGGAUGCUCCUACAAGCACCACAUGUGCACCCAACGGGAAAACACAUGGCUUACCAAAGUCCAUUGAGCCUUCCCUUCAACAUGUCACAAAUAAAUUUGAUCCCCUGUUUUGGUGGUUUCAUUCCAUCCGCAUAAAGCUUGGUAAAGUGCAUAUUGUUCUACCAAGUGGUAAGCUAAUGCUUCUAUUCUCACUGCUGUUCUCCACAGUCUACAUUCUCCGGAGGAAAAGUGCUGGCUUGAAGAGGGCUGUAUUCCAACAUGCUUCAUCCCUGCGACGAGCGUUCCUCGAUGCCCUGCAACUUGCAUUCUCUGUCCAGAUGAACCCGCUGGCUGCUGUUCAACAAGUGCCACAAGCUCCUCGAGGAAGCUGGUGAUACAAUGUACUUAAUCAGUCCCAACAUGUAACUAGUGACAUCAAGAAUUCAAAUUUGACGUAUGUGAUACCAGUCGCUUUUUGUGCUACUCAAAAGUGUACGGCAGUAUAAAGUCGGCUUUCAGUCAAGUUGCAGCUAUAGCAAGUGAGUCCAUGCUUGCCAUUUCGCUUUUUCUCUGUCUCUCUCUCUGAUACUAGUUCAGAAUUUUUUGGCUCCAUAGAUCCAAAUCGAUCUGUCAGGGAGACAGUAGGUUAUUCUAGGGUAAAACAAUUUUUUUACCGCAUAAAACAGGAAUUAAAGCUGUUUUA